This 701-nucleotide long non-coding RNA is filed under the name Rattus norvegicus (Norway rat). RNAcentral describes it as "long non-coding RNA NONRATT017261". Lineage: Eukaryota; Metazoa; Chordata; Mammalia; Rodentia; Muridae. The record is from RNAcentral.
CGGCUUCCUCCUCCCCAGAGGGCAAACACCGCCUGUUCCUCAGAAGCUAAGGCUUCUUCUGACCCAGGAAGGUGCUAGUUCUGGCAGGCUGGGAAGUGCCAUGAUGAAACUCAGGAAGCAAUGGUGUCACUUUUGGGGCAAGAUGUUCUAAUGUCAGGCUGGCCUCGGGAGCCACUAGCCCCAACUACCUGAGGGUUAUGGGAAAGCCCGGAAAUACCUGCGAGCUAUAGGUACGGCCCUGUCCUCCAGCUGUUGGUCAAUUAGGCUCCAGAAACCAUGUCUAUUAGUCACAUCCAAUCUUCAAAGGUCACGUGGAAAUCAUAAAUCACACCAGUGCCUAGAGAUGGGAGGGACCAGAUGCCAGGGCAGGAAUAUCUGAAGAUAUUGAGAGGGCCACGGGAGAAAGAGGUUGUGACUCUGACAGGGCCAUCCCACUGCAGGGGAUGCAGACUCACAGAUGACAGGUCUCAUGCUCUCAGGCAUCCCCUGCAAAGACUGUAAUUAGCUGACACCAUGCUCCUGAGCCCAGGAUGUCUAGUGGUACCACUCUCCUGGUGUCUCCUAUUAGCUCCUAUUAGCUGCCCUGUGGAACCCAAAGUGACUGUGAGGAAGUGUCGCCUUGAGGUGGCAGCGUGUGUUUCCAGAUGGCUAUGUAGAUCUCAGAGUUGUCAGGAUCAGGUGCAUGAUAAAAAAAGAAGAAA